AAGUCGUAACAAGGUUUCCGUAGGUGAACCUGAAGGAUCAUUAACACGUAUCCAACGUAAAAAACCCCCCUGUCGUAGCCCAGUGCGAUCCAGCAAUCCCGGUAAAUCAUUGUCGAACAGUAUUGAUUCGGGACUUCUGACAAAUGAGAAGUUACAGUUACGAUUGAGCGGAGAUAGCUGCAUGGCAUCCCGAAGCAGUCAGUGUCUGAAAGUGUCAUUGAUUGUCUAAGGAUCUCGCCUCAACGAUUGCCAGAGGUCGCUCACCGACCGGCAGACAUGCAACCGGGUCCCCACGCCCCUCUGUGAGUCGCGGGAAACUAGCGGCUAAAAAACCUCGAACAACUGUUAACAAUGGAUAUCUUGGUUCUC
This 369-nucleotide unclassified non-coding RNA is filed under the name fungal sp. Its description in RNAcentral is "partial internal transcribed spacer region". The record is from RNAcentral. Lineage: Eukaryota; Fungi.